Molecule: ribosomal RNA, 497 nt
Filed under: uncultured bacterium
Lineage: Bacteria
Description: partial 16S ribosomal RNA
Rfam family: Bacterial small subunit ribosomal RNA
Source: RNAcentral
GACGAACGCUGGCGGCGUGCCUAAUACAUGCAAGUAGAACGCUGAAGAGAGGAGCUUGCUCUUCUUGGAUGAGUUGCGAACGGGUGAGUAACGCGUAGGUAACCUGCCUUGUAGCGGGGGAUAACUAUUGGAAACGAUAGCUAAUACCGCAUAACAAUGGAUGACACAUGUCAUUUAUUUGAAAGGGGCAAUUGCUCCACUACAAGAUGGACCUGCGUUGUAUUAGCUAGUAGGUGAGGUAAUGGCUCACCUAGGCGACGAUACAUAGCCGACCUGAGAGGGUGAUCGGCCAAACUGGGAAUGGGACAAGGCCCAGAAUACUACGGGAGGCAGCAGUAGGGAAUCUUCGGCAAUGGGGGCAACCCUGACCGAGCAACGCCGCGUGAGUGAAGAAGGUUUUCGGAUCGUAAAGCUCUGUUGUAAGUCAAGAACGGGUGUGAGAGUGGAAAGUUCACACUGUGACGGUAGCUUACCAGAAAGGGACGGCUAACUACGUG